This 29-nucleotide non-coding RNA is filed under the name Rattus norvegicus (Norway rat). Lineage: Eukaryota; Metazoa; Chordata; Mammalia; Rodentia; Muridae. The record is from RNAcentral.
UCCCGAAGGUUAGUCCUCGAUGGUGGAGG